This 253-nucleotide ribosomal RNA is filed under the name uncultured bacterium. RNAcentral describes it as "partial 16S ribosomal RNA". It matches the Rfam family "Bacterial small subunit ribosomal RNA", at positions 524 to 776 of the family's 1533-position model. The record is from RNAcentral.
UACGUAGGUGGCAAGCGUUGUCCGGAUUUAUUGGGUUUAAAGGGUGCGUAGGCGGUCUUAUAAGUCAGUGCUGAAAUAUCCCGGCUUAACCGGGAGGGUGGCAUUGAUACUGCAGGACUUGAGUAGAGUUGAGGUUGGCGGAAUUGACGGUGUAGCGGUGAAAUGCUUAGAUAUCGUCAAGAACACCGAUAGUGAAGACAGCUAACUAAGCUCUAACUGACGCUGAGGCACGAAAGUGUGGGGAUCAAACAGG